UUUUCAUUCUUUUGGUUUCCAGUUUUCUAUUUUUUUUUAAUGAUUAGGUAGAAUAUAGUGUCAAAUAAGUUAUAAAUUGCAUGGUUAAAGAAAGCCAUUCAUCUAAUGUCCUGUGAACUUUAUAAGUGGUUAAGUAGUUCAUGUGAGUAGCUGCUUUCACCAUGCUUAAUAUUUAAAAGUUUAAAAAGUUUUUUGAAGAGAGAGGCAAUUUCUGUACAAUAUAAAUAUACAUAUAUACUUAAGUUAUUGAUUUGCAUGUCUAUAAAAUUAAGCCUCAUUUCCUGAUACAUGAUAAAUUUUGUAGAAUAAAAGGUGAAUUUGCAUUAAAGGUUCACUUUAAUGAAGGUGAAACAUGAGAAUGAGUUGUGUGUGAAAUUCUCAUUUGAUAUCCAGAGGACAGUUUGCAAACCUAAACUUCUGAUUGUUUCUGAUUUCAGAGAUGCCCGAGUGGUAAAAGACAUGGCAACAGGAAAGUCUAAGGGAUAUGGCUUUGUCUCCUUUUUCAACAAAUGGGAUGCUGAAAACGCCAUUCAACAGAUGGGUGGCCAGUGGCUUGGUGGAAGACAAAUCAGAACUAACUGGGCAACCCGAAAGCCUCCCGCUCCAAAGAGUACAUAUGAGUGUAGGUGUAUUGGAGAAGAAAAGGAAAUGUGGAAUUUUGGAGAAAAAUACACUAGAUUUUAAAU
Molecule: small RNA, 686 nt
Filed under: Pongo abelii (Sumatran orangutan)
Lineage: Eukaryota; Metazoa; Chordata; Mammalia; Primates; Hominidae
Description: retained intron
Source: RNAcentral